Molecule: unclassified non-coding RNA, 394 nt
Filed under: Hevea brasiliensis (rubber tree)
Lineage: Eukaryota; Viridiplantae; Streptophyta; Magnoliopsida; Malpighiales; Euphorbiaceae
Source: RNAcentral
CAUAAACUUCUUCUCUGUAAAGGCAUCAUAAAAGCAUCUGACAUGUUUUUAAGCAAUGUUUAAUCAAAUAUAAAUCUUGGGGUUGAGCGAUUCUUAUUUUAAAUAUCAACAGUCCCUUUUCAUUUAGAAUUUAUCACUCCACAACAAUUGAUAGAUUAUAUGAACCUUAUGAAUCAAACACUUGACCAUGAAAAAGAGGAGAAGAGAGGCAAUCUGAACCAGCUUUACUGGCUAACACUCACCAACAUUUGCAACAUCGAGUGGAUCCCCUAAGAGCACAUCUGUCUAUCUAAAUGCUUCAACUGCAAUGAAGUACUUGUUCCCAUGAAAAAUGGGAAAAAAGAAAAUAGGCAUUCCAUACAAAGAAUGAAGGGAGAAUUACCCUAAGAGCACA